GAUGAACGCUAGCUACAGGCUUAACACAUGCAAGUCGAGGGGCAGCAUUUUAGUUUGCUUGCAAACUGAAGAUGGCGACCGGCGCACGGGUGAGUAACACGUAUCCAACCUACCGAUAACUCCGGAAUAGCCUUUCGAAAGAAAGAUUAAUACCGGAUAGCAUACGAAUAUCGCAUGAUAUUUUUAUUAAAGAAUUUCGGUUAUCGAUGGGGAUGCGUUCCAUUAGUUUGUUGGCGGGGUAACGGCCCACCAAGACUACGAUGGAUAGGGGUUCUGAGAGGAAGGUCCCCCACAUUGGAACUGAGACACGGUCCAAACUCCUACGGGAGGCAGCAGUGAGGAAUAUUGGUCAAUGGGCGAGAGCCUGAACCAGCCAAGUAGCGUGAAGGAUGAAGGCUCUAUGGGUCGUAAACUUCUUUUAUAUGGGAAUAAAGUUUUCCACGUGUGGAAUUUUGUAUGUACCAUAUGAAUAAGGAUCGGCUAACUCCGUGCCAGCAGCCGCGGUAAUACGGAGGAUCCGAGCGUUAUCCGGAUUUAUUGGGUUUAAAGGGAGCGUAGGUGGAUUGUUAAGUCAGUUGUGAAAGUUUGCGGCUCAACCGUAAAAUUGCAGUUGAAACUGGCAGUCUUGAGUACAGUAGAGGUGGGCGGAAUUCGUGGUGUAGCGGUGAAAUGCUUAGAUAUCACGAAGAACUCCGAUUGCGAAGGCAGCUCACUAGACUGUCACUGACACUGAUGCUCGAAAGUGU
Molecule: ribosomal RNA, 746 nt
Filed under: uncultured Bacteroidales bacterium
Lineage: Bacteria; Pseudomonadati; Bacteroidota; Bacteroidia; Bacteroidales
Description: bacterial SSU rRNA
Rfam family: Bacterial small subunit ribosomal RNA
Source: RNAcentral